ACAGCAAGUCAUAGAACCUCUUGGAACCCCAGUUUCCACAUCUGGAAGAAGGGGCAGAAUAGUAUCAAAAAUGCUUCACUCCCAGGAACAUGGUGAGCAUAAAAUUAAAUAAUGAAAAAAGGUCAACUAUAAAGCACUAAAUAAAUGUAAGAUGGUGAAUCUGACAGAGGAAGAAUUAAAUGACUUGUUCAAGGUCACCUUUGAGGAAUUUGCAGGAAGUUUAAUUUAUGUAUAUUUUUCCCCUGUACCCCAGAUGGAGUCUCGCUCUGUUGCCCAGGCUGGAGUGCAGUGGCACCAUCUUGGCUCACUGCAACUUCCGCCUCCCAGGUUCAAGAGAUCCUCCUGCCUCAGCCCCACUAGUAGCUGGGAUUACAGGGAAAUCUAUUAUGGGAUGGCCUGGAUAUGUCACUUUAAAAAUCCUGCCUUUAAUGAACAAAUGAGAGAAGAGAUGAGGUUUCACCAUGUUGCCUGAGCUGGUCUCCAACUUCUAGGCUCAAGCAGUCUGCCCUCCUUGGCCUCCCAAAGUGCUGAGAAUACAGACCAAGAAAUUGAGCUACAGUGAGGUCACACAGCCGACAUCACACAGUGAAGAGCUGGAAUUUGAGCCUAGAAUACUCUGACCUCAGAGUCUGGAUGCUAGUCUCUUGCUGCCUCCCCUGUGUUAUGAGGUCAUGUCUAAAUCACCUCUGUUAUUGAAAAUGCUUAUGAAAGACCUAUUCUGCCUGCUGGAUAGAGCAAUCACCUUAUUCAAGUAUGACCCAAAUGUUGCCAUUAGGUCCUACCCAACCCCAUCAAAGAUCAGAACCUGGAGGUGUGGUAACUCCCUCCUGUCCAAAAAAAAAAAAAAAAAAACACCCCAGUAGGUCAGAGUAAAGAGCUGCUCUAAGCCAUCACUGGGAGGGUUAAGUUAAAGAAUAGAAAGAUGUAACCUGACCCAAAACUUAGCUCUCAUUUUUAACAGGCAAGAGCUCCUUGCAGGGUGACCUUGAGUCAGACCCACGAUUCAAUUUUUUUGUUGUUGUUGUUUUCUUUUUGGAAUGACAAUAACAAUGUCUGCCCAGCAUCCACCACUUUAAGUUGGUGUUUACAAUAGAACUGACACAGCCCCUUAAGCAGGCUCUCGCGUGCAGAGUUAAAUCUCCCCUUGCACACAGAGCAGAUCAUCAGGCUCCCUCCAGCCCCAGGACCUUUCUCUAACCAUAAAAAGGCAAUUGUACCCCUAAAUCCCAAAUCCUUACCUAUCCCUGCUGCACCCAGCUGUGCAAGGUGAGUCCUAGGAGGUCACAUCCCCCACAAUCCCACAUUUUCUCAUCAGUAUCCUUUGCUAGUUCCAGAUAUUGCAACAUCACUGCUGUUCCAGAUUAGAACUUAAGAACUCGAAAAGGUCAGGAAAGAUGUGGUGCCUUGUCUCCACAUCAAGUAAACAGUCCGUGGCAUUGGCUUCUGACAAGUGACAACAGACUCACGGGGCAGUAGUUGAGGAGCUGUGCUUAUGUGAUACUUACCAUCCUGAGAAGUGUGGAUGUAUGGGGAUGCCCAUACCCAGGUAACCCAACCCCAUGGAUUCAGACCAGUGGUGAACACUAGAGAAUCUUCAUCAUUUGCUCAGCUGUCACCACUUCCACAGGUGCAAGAAAUGACCGAUCGUUCCAGAGGAUGACCCUAUCAAAUAGAAAAGGGAGUGUAUUAGAUGUCAUCCAGCCGGUCGUAUAGAAAGGUGGCCUUUAAGAAAUUGUGGUUAAUAUUGGAAGGAAACAUAAGGCAGAUUUUAAAGCUAUUUUCAUAGUCUUCAAAGAGAAAUAAAUGACCAGCGCCGAGGGCUGCAGACAGCAGGACAGGCAGCCUGA
Symphalangus syndactylus (siamang) is the source of this 1847-nucleotide long non-coding RNA. RefSeq lists it as uncharacterized. Lineage: Eukaryota; Metazoa; Chordata; Mammalia; Primates; Hylobatidae. The record is from RefSeq and is a predicted model, not a curated record.